Caenorhabditis elegans is the source of this 21-nucleotide non-coding RNA. The record is from Ensembl. NCBI's taxonomy places the organism in Eukaryota, Metazoa, Nematoda, Chromadorea, Rhabditida, Rhabditidae.
AAUUACAAUGUAAUUGCUUGA